GCUACUUUAUAUGUGCAGCCCACAAUUCCCUUUUUAUUUCAUCUCUUGGUUAUCGGCCCACUUAUCCAAAACCGUCCAAACAAUUAAUUUCCCUAUUAUAUGUAGUUAUGUUCGUAUUUCUUGCUUGUGCACAACAAAUCCUCAAACCCUAAAAGAAAAAAUACGGUUCCUUCUGCCUCCCUUCUGUGUACGCAUACAAGGCACAAGCAAUCCCAAGUUCGUUCGGUUUUCAAGCUCUAGCGAUCCAUCACUCUUUCUAAACUCGGUCGUUAGGUACAUGGCUGGAGCUUGCACAAAGGGAUGGUCGUUGUGGCAGGGAACCAUUUGUUGGAUUCUCAUUGAACAUUAUGAACUUAACAAUUUAUUGGGUUUUUAACUUUAUGCUUCCGUUGACACUUAAACUUGGUUUUGGAUAUUUGUUUUCAUAAACACUAAUCGUAUUGAUUGUGAUGGACUUUAUUUACUUUUA
Molecule: long non-coding RNA, 469 nt
Organism: Helianthus annuus (common sunflower)
Lineage: Eukaryota; Viridiplantae; Streptophyta; Magnoliopsida; Asterales; Asteraceae
Exons: 2
Source: RefSeq, a predicted model, not a curated record